CAUCUUAGCCAAGGUCUUUCGGCCUUGCUCUGAACCCACGUAACACUGGAAUUUGCUAUUUAUAGACCGUGAAACAUAUCUGUAAGUAUGUCUUUGCUCUGAAUCCGCACAGCACUGAACUUUUCUAUUUAUUGAAUAUUUUUAUGCCCUUUCGUGGCCAUUGGUUCCCAUGCUGGAACGUCUCAAUAAUGGAGUUAAAUCUGUUCAUUGUAGUUUAUUAAAUGCUAAAGUUACAUAUUUUAUGUAAUUAAAUUGGUUAAUUUAUGAGAGCGCACCACUAAUUUUUUCAUGUUUAUAUUGAAUUUUGUGUAGGGAUGCAAUUUGGGGCUAAAUAGAAGAAAAAGGAAACAAUUGGGCUAGAUUGAAGAAAUAAGCAAAGAAGGAGGGCCAAAGCAGAAUUUUUCCAAGAUUAAUUAGCUGAAAUUUUUGUUGACUUAGUGGGAGAUUAUGUUGGGAUUUUUUGUAUAUCAUGGAAUAUUUUUCCUUAAUUUUCUAUGACUAGUUGGCUCCUAAUUUAGUAAAGUCACUAGUAUAAAUAGAGGCUACAUUGUUCAUUUAUUCAUCAAGCAAGAAAUCAAGCUUUCAUCCUUUUAUACAUUCUCUCCUCUCUACCAACAAAUUUAUUUGUAGUAUUUAGUUUCCUUUACUUUCAAUUCCUUUCCAGCUUGUUACCUCUUAGACCAUUUACAAUUAAUUUUUCAAACUUUCUUUUCACUCCCAGUAGCUAACCCACUUUAAUACAUCACCAAAAUUCCAGCCCCUCAUACUCGAUCACGCCACCCAUCUUUUUCACCCAUUUUUACCUUAUUUAAUUUAUCCAAUACCAACAUGCCCCAAACCUUAGCCAACUAAAUCUAUUUUCAACUUUAGGUCGGAAUUAGCCUCGUCAAGACCCGUGAGUUACGAACCCGAGCAAAUUAACUCCUAAAUUCCAAUACUUAUUCUUUCUCCGGAUUAAGAGUAUGAUUUUGUCAACUCACAAAGUCAGAUCAACAUUAAGCCAAAAAAGACUUGAUUUAGUGUGGUUAGACGUACAGUUGGAAUUCCGAAAGGAUUGAUUCUAAUCGGUUUUUUGUAAACACAUUGGCGUGCCAAGUGGAGAUUGUUGUUUGGUUCCGUCAAGGGAAGUAGUAACUGGAUUUAAAUGUCCCACGCGGUUGAGGGCAUUAGUUCGAGCUAGGCUCUUCUAGAACGCAAAGCUACCAGAGUUCUAAAUCACGAACGUUUCGUGGUUGUUCGAUCGGUAAGGGUUAGUUAUUGGACGUUCCAUAACUAAUUUGCACAAGGAAGAGUUGGUGUCCGAGGCGUCCUUGGUAGCUAUAACUAGCUUAUUGGAAAAGAGGAGUUCAUCUAAUUUCGAGGAUCGGUUUAAAGACGAGGAAAAAUCCGUGCCUAAAGCUGAGCUUAUUCUAAUUAUUUUUUCUUCAAAUUUAUUUAACUAUUUUUUAUUAGUUCAUUUUCAACUUUUACUUUUUACGCGUUUUAUUUAUUUAUUUCAGGUUCCAGGUUUUUGAUUUUAUCCUCCCCCUAAUAUCUUGGGCACGACAACUGCCCCGACAUAGAUCUGGUCAAGAGAGCAACAAUUUGCAGUAAACCCAGUCUCUGAGGGAUCGACCCUACUCCCUAUACUGCUUAAAUUGCAAAUUAGGCGUAGGUUUAUAUUGGUGGACUCGACUCCCAUCAGUAGUAAUAGUAAAUGAGUUGUAGUAUUAGUAAAUGAGCCCAAUGCUACCAUAAAUAAAUAUAUAAAAAUAGAAUGUCGUUAAUGACAAUAUAUCGCAAAGAAAAUAGAAAUAAAAAUAAAGAACACACAGAUUUUUACGUGAAAGCCUUUUCGGAAAAAAACCACGGCCAGAGUAGAAGAAAAUUCACUAUGUCGAAUUCGACUAAUUACAAUAUGAGUAAACUAUGUCUAUUUAUAAGCUUGUAAAACCAUAUUCUAAUAGGAGUGUAGUAAGAUUGAAAC
RNAcentral lists this long non-coding RNA (1966 nucleotides) under Gossypium raimondii (Peruvian cotton). RNAcentral's name for it is "long non-coding RNA (GRAI_LNC009586)". Lineage: Eukaryota; Viridiplantae; Streptophyta; Magnoliopsida; Malvales; Malvaceae. The record is from RNAcentral.